AGAAGAAACCUGCACUGGGACCAGGCACAGUUAGCAAGCAACCCACAAGCUGCGUGAAAAGAAAGCGUCCAGUGAGCCAGCAGACAGCAGUGACUCCGUUAGUGCUGGUGGAAGUCGUCCUGCACAGUAGCCCGCCUCUUCUGGUCUCCCUCACAACAGCCGGGAAGGUUUUCAAAGGUUCUCCCCCUCCUCUUCCGAUCUCCACCACAUUCUGCAGGCAGCAGAGCAAAGCGGCCUCUUGGGGCUCCUGUUUCAAACCCUGACCCUGACAGGAUUCAUGGCGGAGGCCAAGUGUUCAGGAGAAGUGGGGUGAACAGCAACUUCCUCGGCCGGGACAGAAAGUGCCGUAGUGCGGAAAGAUGUGGUAGCAGCACACACAUCUGUGGGUAGAGAGCGCGCAGGGCUGGGCCCUGGCCAGGUGGCGAGCGCAGCAGACAGGUCGUGGGUUCGGCCGGACUUUGUCUUGGCCCGGGGCCCUGCAGCCCCAAGUGGGAAGCCCUGUGUGGUUCUGGUUGCUGCUGACCUUGGACAGUGUCCACAGGGCCCUGGGACUCCUGGGAUCGGAGCUGCCCCCGCGUGGAGCACCCUGGGGACACAAGGACACUCUGCCCCACCCGGGAACCUCGCAGCCACCGCCAGGAGAAUGGGGAGAGCUGGGCCUGUGCACCUGACAGCGCAAGAGGCCCUGGCGCCUGGCACCCGUUUUCACUGCUGCUAAGCCUGAGAUGGAGUGGAUGGUGAGGCUGGCUCCUGCGGCGCUCUGAUGGCACAGCAGCUGCCUGGGCAACCGAGGGUCUGAUUGGUGCUCUGCAGGAAGCCUAUGGUUAUCAAACAGCUGACUUCUUAAAUAUCAAGCUCUACUUCCAGAAGGACCAGCCAUUCAAAUUAAGACAUAUUCCUCCUUAAUCCCUGCCACCUUUCUAUCAGAAAAGGAGGAAACUGAGGCUGAAAGAUGUGACUGCAAACAGGUGAUUCUCUGUACUCGUGAAGCCGGAGAAGACUCGUUAGAAACACCCCUUACUAAAAAUAAAAUAAAAUAAAAAGAAACACCCC
Molecule: long non-coding RNA, 1053 nt
Filed under: Heterocephalus glaber (naked mole-rat)
Lineage: Eukaryota; Metazoa; Chordata; Mammalia; Rodentia; Bathyergidae
Description: lncRNA (ENSHGLG00100035583.1)
Source: RNAcentral